Long non-coding RNA from Crotalus tigris (Tiger rattlesnake), 161 nucleotides. RefSeq lists it as uncharacterized. The record is from RefSeq and is a predicted model, not a curated record. NCBI's taxonomy places the organism in Eukaryota, Metazoa, Chordata, Lepidosauria, Squamata, Viperidae. The transcript has 3 exons.
ACGAAAUCGACAGAUUGAUGAACAAAGAAGUUACUAAGCAGGUCUUACCCUCAAAAUCUAGAUGAUAAGACUGGUGAAAACAUUGUACUAAGCAGGUGAAUGCAGACAAGAAUGAAAUGUUUUAUUCAGGAUAAAAGCUGCAAUCAUAAAACCACUCCAAC